CGAGCACGCGCGUGUGGCAUAUCAAUAAGCGGAGGAAAAGAAACUAACAAGGAUUCCCUUAGUAACGGCGAGUGAAGCGGGAAGAGCUCAAAUUUGAAAUCUUCAAGGUUCUACCUUGACGAAUUGUAGUUUAUAGAAGUGUUUUCUGUUAGUGGAGUGGCAAAAGUUCUUUGGAAUAGGACAUCAUAGAGGGUGAGAAUCCCGUAUUUGGUCAUUCCUCCUAGCGUUGUGAUACACUUUCAACGAGUCGGAUUGUUUGGGAAUGCAGUCCAAAAUGGGUGGUAAAUUUCAUCUAAAGCUAAAUAUUGGCGAGAGACCGAUAGCGAACAAGUACCGUGAGGGAAAGAUGAAAAGAACUUUGAAAAGAGAGUUGAACAGUACGUGAAAUUGUCAAAAGGGAGGCGUUUGACACCAGUGUUGUUUUUCCGAAAAUCAAUUACGAAUGUUUUGUUUUUGAGGAGUUAUGACUUCAUCGGCUUGCUCCUUUCUUUACGAAACUUUCUUAAUGCACUUUUCGGUUAACAAGUCAACAUCAAUUUCUUUUGUUGUAAAAGGGUAUGAGGAAGGUGGCUUUCUUUUCGGAGAAAGUGUUUAUAGCCUUGUGCCUCUGCAAUCGGAGAGAUUGAGGUCUGCAGCGUAGAUCCUUCGGGGUUAGAUACGUUUGUGCUAAGUUAUAGCUUUUCAUAGACAACUUGUUGACUAUGUUUAGUCUUGUAGCUUACUCGCUGACGCUAUUUUACCUACGCUUAGGAUGUUGAUGUGAUACUGCGAGC
Molecule: ribosomal RNA, 773 nt
Filed under: uncultured Neocallimastigales
Lineage: Eukaryota; Fungi; Neocallimastigomycota; Neocallimastigomycetes; Neocallimastigales
Description: partial large subunit ribosomal RNA
Rfam family: Eukaryotic large subunit ribosomal RNA
Source: RNAcentral